RNAcentral lists this ribosomal RNA (253 nucleotides) under uncultured bacterium. Its description in RNAcentral is "partial 16S ribosomal RNA". It matches the Rfam family "Bacterial small subunit ribosomal RNA", at positions 524 to 776 of the family's 1533-position model. The record is from RNAcentral.
UACGUAGGGUGCGAGCGUUAAUCGGAAUUACUGGGCGUAAAGCGUGCGCAGGCGGUUUUGUAAGCCAGAUGUGAAAUCCCCGGGCUCAACCUGGGAACUGCAUUUGUGACUGCAUCGCUGGAGUGCGGCAGAGGGGGAUGGAAUUCCGCGUGUAGCAGUGAAAUGCGUAGAGAUGCGGAGGAACACCGAUGGCGAAGGCAGCCCCCUGGGCUAACACUGACGCUCAGGCACGAAAGCGUGGGGAGCAAACAGG